This 1360-nucleotide ribosomal RNA is filed under the name bacterium TSBY-84. RNAcentral's name for it is "bacterial SSU rRNA". It matches the Rfam family "Bacterial small subunit ribosomal RNA", at positions 73 to 1444 of the family's 1533-position model. The record is from RNAcentral.
CCAGAGCUUGCUCUGGUGAUUAGUGGCGAACGGGUGAGUAACACGUGAGCAAUCUGCCCUUGACUCUGGGAUAAGCGUUGGAAACGACGUCUAAUACCGGAUACGACCCUCGGAGGCAUCUCCUGGGGGUGGAAAGAAUUUUGGUCAAGGAUGAGCUCGCGGCCUAUCAGCUAGUUGGUGAGGUAAUGGCUCACCAAGGCGACGACGGGUAGCCGGCCUGAGAGGGUGACCGGCCACACUGGGACUGAGACACGGCCCAGACUCCUACGGGAGGCAGCAGUGGGGAAUAUUGCACAAUGGGCGAAAGCCUGAUGCAGCAACGCCGCGUGAGGGACGACGGCCUUCGGGUUGUAAACCUCUUUUAGUAGGGAAGAAGCGAAAGUGACGGUACCUGCAGAAAAAGCACCGGCUAACUACGUGCCAGCAGCCGCGGUAAUACGUAGGGUGCAAGCGUUGUCCGGAAUUAUUGGGCGUAAAGAGCUCGUAGGCGGUUUGUCGCGUCUGCUGUGAAAACUGGAGGCUCAACCUCCAGCCUGCAGUGGGUACGGGCAGACUAGAGUGCGGUAGGGGAGAUUGGAAUUCCUGGUGUAGCGGUGGAAUGCGCAGAUAUCAGGAGGAACACCGAUGGCGAAGGCAGAUCUCUGGGCCGUAACUGACGCUGAGGAGCGAAAGCGUGGGGAGCGAACAGGAUUAGAUACCCUGGUAGUCCACGCCGUAAACGUUGGGAACUAGAUGUGGGGACCAUUCCACGGUCUCCGUGUCGCAGCUAACGCAUUAAGUUCCCCGCCUGGGGAGUACGGCCGCAAGGCUAAAACUCAAAGGAAUUGACGGGGGCCCGCACAAGCGGCGGAGCAUGCGGAUUAAUUCGAUGCAACGCGAAGAACCUUACCAAGGCUUGACAUAUACGAGAACGGGCCAGAAAUGGUCAACUCUUUGGACACUCGUAAACAGGUGGUGCAUGGUUGUCGUCAGCUCGUGUCGUGAGAUGUUGGGUUAAGUCCCGCAACGAGCGCAACCCUCGUCCUAUGUUGCCAGCACGUAAUGGUGGGAACUCAUGGGAUACUGCCGGGGUCAACUCGGAGGAAGGUGGGGAUGACGUCAAAUCAUCAUGCCCCUUAUGUCUUGGGCUUCACGCAUGCUACAAUGGCCGGUACAAAGGGCUGCAAUACCGUAAGGUGGAGCGAAUCCCAAAAAGCCGGUCUCAGUUCGGAUUGAGGUCUGCAACUCGACCUCAUGAAGUCGGAGUCGCUAGUAAUCGCAGAUCAGCAACGCUGCGGUGAAUACGUUCCCGGGCCUUGUACACACCGCCCGUCAAGUCAUGAAAGUCGGUAACACCCGAAGCCAGUGGCCUAACCCGUAA